This 587-nucleotide ribosomal RNA is filed under the name uncultured bacterium. Its description in RNAcentral is "bacterial SSU rRNA". It matches the Rfam family "Bacterial small subunit ribosomal RNA", at positions 338 to 944 of the family's 1533-position model. The record is from RNAcentral.
CCUACGGGAGGCAGCAGUGGGGAAUCUUGCACAAUGGAGGAAACUCUGAUGCAGCGAUGCCGCGUGAGUGAAGAAGGCCUUUGGGUUGUAAAGCUCUUUUGUAGGGGAAGAUAAUGACUGUACCCUAAGAAUAAGGUCCGGCUAACUUCGUGCCAGCAGCCGCGGUAAUACGAAGGGACCUAGCGUAGUUCGGAAUUACUGGGCGUAAAGCGCGCGUAGGCCGUUGAGUUAGUUAAUUGUGAAAUCCCAAAGCUUAACUUUGGAACUGCAAUUAAAACUGCUCGACUAGAGUUUGAUAGAGGAAAGCGGAAUACAUAGUGUAGAGGUGAAAUUCGUAGAUAUUAUGUAGAACACCAGUUGCGAAGGCGGCUUUCUGGAUCAACACUGACGCUGAGGCGCGAAAGUAUGGGUAGCAAAGAGGAUUAGAUACCCUCGUAGUCCAUACCAUAAACGAUGAUUGCUAGAUGUUGGAAAUUUAUUUUCAGUAUCGCAGCUAACGCAUUAAGCAAUCCGCCUGGGGAGUACGACCGCAAGGUUAAAACNCAAAGGAAUUGAACGGNUGNGAGUGCGAGACGCACGAGGAGAGG